This is a long non-coding RNA of Saccostrea cuccullata (small rock oyster), 365 nucleotides long. RefSeq lists it as uncharacterized. Lineage: Eukaryota; Metazoa; Mollusca; Bivalvia; Ostreida; Ostreidae. The transcript is spliced from 3 exons. The record is from RefSeq and is a predicted model, not a curated record.
CACUGUCGUGAUCCCGUGCCGGAUUGGACAAAACAAGAUGGCGGCGGGAACAAAUCGAAAAAGAUAUGGAUGCAUCGUUUAAUGAAAUAUACGAGAAGGAGGAAUUUAAAUAAUAUAGCUUAUCUUACCGAAAGACCACUGUUUUGGUAAACCCCAAAGAGCUCGUUGGGCCAGAAAAAAGGAAAGGAGGAACCGUUAGUAAGCCAGAGGAAUCGUCCGCAAAACCUUUAAGCAUACGAGAAUUUCAUCAUGCACAUGAGGCGAAGUUCGAAAUUGCAUCAUGUUACUUAGUAGGGCCUUUCCGUCAGAGGUCAGAAAAACAGCCUCGAAUGUAUCAUCAUCAACGGGUGUUAAAAAUUUAUACA